GGUCAGUCUUAGUCUUGGUCUGAAGUCCCCCUUCUGUCUUGGGUGUGGGAAGUCCAGCUAUGUGGCAGAGUCAGGGUCUCACUGAGUUGCUCAAUGCCAAGCUGUUGCUGAAGCUGGCUUUGAACAUGAAUUCUUCCUGCCUCAGUCUCCUGAGCUGCUGAGAAUACAGCUGUGAUCACCUGAGAACACAUGACUCCAACUCCCUCACUCUAUCAAAGGAAACUCAGACCAGUGGCUCUCCAGAGAAUUUCCAUGCCUUGUUACCAGACAGGAGUGGCCAUCAAUAACCCUUCUUGUUCUGAGGCUCCAGCUUCUUGGACUGAGCAGAUCCCAGUGGGAUUCCACCUCUGCUCUGGGUGCCUUUCCACUUCAUCACCUCCAUCUCCGCAUCUCACCCAGCAAUGCCUUCCCUUGGCCCCAAACGACCUGCCUGUCUCAACACCUCGUCUGUUCAUCUGCUUGAGAAAGGAAUUCCUACUAAGGCAAAUUGGACUAUGUUUGGAACCAGAAACUGCUGGGAAACAUGGAGAAAGGGCGUCUCAUGGUUGAGGACACUCUUAACCUUGUCAGUGUAUGUUCUGUUUGUCAUUAAUGGCUUUCCCUUCUCACAUGUAUUCUCUACACUCUCCUUUUCUCCUCUCUCCCUCUCUGUAUAGAGACAUUUAACAGUGCCAGUGCCACCCCAUUGCUGAAAAGAAUAUAGAAAGUACUUUCCAGGGGACUUAGUUUUUCUUUUCUUCUUGAACUGAGUAUUUUAUUUGAAAGAGCUAUUAUUGACAUUUACACAGUUUCUAAUUUUGAGGAGUGACCAGGUGAACAACAGGGAUUGACUGUAUAUAAAGACAGUAGCAGCAUCCUGCUUUGCUAUGUUUUCACAGGGAGGAAAUAGGUGUAGGGACAGGUGAGUUAUUUUUUGAUGACUACAAUGUUUGUCACAAGCCAAACAGUAAUUCUUGUUCAUCCAUGUAGCUGUAAGCUACACUGAUUAUAAUGUGCUAUUUGUGAGAUAUUAUAGACUAGGAGAAACACAACAAGAAUUUCUGUUUAGAUUUUGAGAAAGAGUAAAGGAGUCUUUGGUCAAAGUAUGUGACAGUAUCACAUGCAGUCUUAUAUAACCAUUAUCCUUGCAAACAAUUGUUCACAGUUGAUUUUUAUAUCACCUAUAUUUAUUUGGGUUGCACUAUUAUUUUAAGAACAGAUAAAUGUCACAAGAUACAGGUAACUUACACAAGUAAAUAUCAACUCUACAACUUCAAUUUUAUCUUGAAAAAUAAUAAAUGAUCAUUUUGCAGGGAAAGACUGGCCACGUGAAUGUCUUCCUGCAUUAAACAUUUUAAUUAAA
Marmota monax (woodchuck) is the source of this 1342-nucleotide long non-coding RNA. RefSeq lists it as uncharacterized. The record is from RefSeq and is a predicted model, not a curated record. The transcript is spliced from 4 exons. Lineage: Eukaryota; Metazoa; Chordata; Mammalia; Rodentia; Sciuridae.